GUGUGUAUAGUGUAAAAACACACUAACUUUUCAUGUUAGAGAUAUAUAAAAAUAUUACACACA
RNAcentral lists this transfer RNA (63 nucleotides) under Tonoscolex birmanicus. RNAcentral's name for it is "tRNA-Glu". Lineage: Eukaryota; Metazoa; Annelida; Clitellata; Crassiclitellata; Megascolecidae. The record is from RNAcentral.